UGGGAAUCAUCUACUUUAGUGAUUCGUGGAUUCUUACUCAUUUCAUUCGUUCCUACGCGAUGGAAAUCGGGAAUUACGGGAAUAAUUCGUACCGGUGUAUCUUAGGGCUAGAUUUUUCGUUCGUGGUAUCGAGGUCCAGAGAAGCCUGACGGUACGUAAAGAUUUUAUCUCGCUUAAGCCACUGAAAAGUCGAGAACCCACACUUUGAAAAACGCUGCUUUAAGGGAACAGAGGACAUCAAUGUACACUUGGCUAUAUUGGUGAUGACUCAAAGCGUAGGGUUAAGAUCAGAGGACAUCAAUGUUCACUUACCUAUAGUGGUGAUGAC
This is a long non-coding RNA of Macrobrachium nipponense, 328 nucleotides long. RefSeq lists it as uncharacterized. NCBI's taxonomy places the organism in Eukaryota, Metazoa, Arthropoda, Malacostraca, Decapoda, Palaemonidae. The transcript has 3 exons. The record is from RefSeq and is a predicted model, not a curated record.